RNAcentral lists this ribosomal RNA (1015 nucleotides) under Escherichia coli. Its description in RNAcentral is "partial 23S ribosomal RNA". It matches the Rfam family "Bacterial large subunit ribosomal RNA", at positions 560 to 1578 of the family's 2925-position model. Lineage: Bacteria; Pseudomonadati; Pseudomonadota; Gammaproteobacteria; Enterobacterales; Enterobacteriaceae. The record is from RNAcentral.
GUACGUACAAGCAGUGGGAGCACGCUUAGGCGUGUGACUGCGUACCUUUUGUAUAAUGGGUCAGCGACUUAUAUUCUGUAGCAAGGUUAACCGAAUAGGGGAGCCGAAGGGAAACCGAGUCUUAACUGGGCGUUAAGUUGCAGGGUAUAGACCCGAAACCCGGUGAUCUAGCCAUGGGCAGGUUGAAGGUUGGGUAACACUAACUGGAGGACCGAACCGACUAAUGUUGAAAAAUUAGCGGAUGACUUGUGGCUGGGGGUGAAAGGCCAAUCAAACCGGGAGAUAGCUGGUUCUCCCCGAAAGCUAUUUAGGUAGCGCCUCGUGAAUUCAUCUCCGGGGGUAGAGCACUGUUUCGGCAAGGGGGUCAUCCCGACUUACCAACCCGAUGCAAACUGCGAAUACCGGAGAAUGUUAUCACGGGAGACACACGGCGGGUGCUAACGUCCGUCGUGAAGAGGGAAACAACCCAGACCGCCAGCUAAGGUCCCAAAGUCAUGGUUAAGUGGGAAACGAUGUGGGAAGGCCCAGACAGCCAGGAUGUUGGCUUAGAAGCAGCCAUCAUUUAAAGAAAGCGUAAUAGCUCACUGGUCGAGUCGGCCUGCGCGGAAGAUGUAACGGGGCUAAACCAUGCACCGAAGCUGCGGCAGCGACGCUGAUGCGUUGUUGGGUAGGGGAGCGUUCUGUAAGCCUGCGAAGGUGUGCUGUGAGGCAUGCUGGAGGUAUCAGAAGUGCGAAUGCUGACAUAAGUAACGAUAAAGCGGGUGAAAAGCCCGCUCGCCGGAAGACCAAGGGUUCCUGUCCAACGUUAAUCGGGGCAGGGUGAGUCGACCCCUAAGGCGAGGCCGAAAGGCGUAGUCGAUGGGAAACAGGUUAAUAUUCCUGUACUUGGUGUUACUGCGAAGGGGGGACGGAGAAGGCUAUGUUGGCCGGGCGACGGUUGUCCCGGUUUAAGCGUGUAGGCUGGUUUUCCAGGCAAAUCCGGAAAAUCAAGGCUGAGGCGUGAUGACGAGGCACU